RNAcentral lists this ribosomal RNA (497 nucleotides) under uncultured bacterium. Its description in RNAcentral is "partial 16S ribosomal RNA". It matches the Rfam family "Bacterial small subunit ribosomal RNA", at positions 28 to 507 of the family's 1533-position model. The record is from RNAcentral.
GAUGAACGCUGGCGGCGUGCCUAAUACAUGCAAGUCGAGCGAACAGAUGAGGAGCUUGCUCCUCUGACGUUAGCGGCGGACGGGUGAGUAACACGUGGAUAACCUACCUAUAAGACUGGGAUAACUUCGGGAAACCGGAGCUAAUACCGGAUAAUAUAUUGAACCGCAUGGUUCAAUAGUGAAAGACGGUUUUGCUGUCACUUAUAGAUGGAUCCGCGCCGCAUUAGCUAGUUGGUAAGGUAACGGCUUACCAAGGCAACGAUGCGUAGCCGACCUGAGAGGGUGAUCGGCCACGCUGGAACUGAGACACGGUCCAGACUCCUACGGGAGGCAGCAAUAGGGAAUCUUCCGCAAUGGGCGAAAGCCUGAAGGAGCAACGCCGCGUGAGUGAUGAAGGUCUUCGGAUCGUAAAACUCUGUUAUUAGGGAAGAACAAAUGUGUAAGUAACUAUGCACGUCUUGACGGCACCUAAUCAGAAAGCCACGGCUAACUACGUG